GGACGCAAGUCUGAUGGAGCAACGCCGCGUGAGUGAAGAAGGCUUUCGGGUCGUAAAACUCUGUUGUUGGAGAAGAAUGGUCGGCAGAGUAACUGUUGUCGGCGUGACGGUAUCCAACCAGAAAGCCACGGCUAACUACGUGCCAGCAGCCGCGGUAAUACGUAGGUGGCAAGCGUUAUCCGGAUUUAUUGGGCGUAAAGCGAGCGCAGGCGGUUUUUUAAGUCUGAUGUGAAAGCCCUCGGCUUAACCGAGGAAGUGCAUCGGAAACUGGGAAACUUGGAGUGCAGAAGAGGACAGUGGAACUCCAUGUGUAGCGGUGAAAUGCGUAGGAUAUAUGGAAGAACACCAGUGGCGAAGGCGGCUGUCUGGUCUGUAACUGACGCUGAGGCUCGAAAGCAUGGGUAGCGAACAGGAUUAGAUACCCUGGUAGUCCAUGCCGUAAACGAUGGAUGCUAGGUGUUGGAGGGUUUCCGCCCUUCAGUGCCGCAGCUAACGCAUUAAGCAUUCCGCCUGGGGAUUACGACCGCAAGGUUGAAACUCAAAGGAAUUGACGGGGGCCCGCACAAGCGGUGGAGCAUGUGGUUUAAUUCGAAGCAACGC
Molecule: ribosomal RNA, 600 nt
Filed under: Lacticaseibacillus rhamnosus
Lineage: Bacteria; Bacillati; Bacillota; Bacilli; Lactobacillales; Lactobacillaceae
Description: bacterial SSU rRNA
Rfam family: Bacterial small subunit ribosomal RNA
Source: RNAcentral